This is a long non-coding RNA of Amphibalanus amphitrite, 1141 nucleotides long. RefSeq lists it as uncharacterized. NCBI's taxonomy places the organism in Eukaryota, Metazoa, Arthropoda, Thecostraca, Balanomorpha, Balanidae. The transcript has 2 exons. The record is from RefSeq and is a predicted model, not a curated record.
GGUUGAAGCACUGGCGGAGAGUGCACGCCGCACCCCGCACGGACGACUGGUGGGCGGCUCAGAGACCGUCAGCGGACUGAACAACACUCAACGCCGCUUCUCCACCCAUUCGGCAGAAAACAGGGUGGUCAUGAAUCCGACGGCCAUGAGUACCCUCCGGUCAGCCACUCCCCUGCUGACGGCAGCCGCCGCCACACCCUGCGGGCAGGCCGCUCUGGUGCUGUUCGGCGCGGCAGCCGUCAUCGCUUCAGUCGGAUACACGGCCGGGAAAAUCGCCGAACUCAUCAGAGAACGCAAACAGAAGGCUCACCAGUACUGAGGGCAUCAGAGAACGCAAACAGAAGGCUCACCAGUACUGAGGGCAUCAGAGCAGAGGCGGAUCUAGCUCAGAGGUUUGGGGGGGGGGCAAACCAUAAAAAUUUAUCGAUUCUUUCCAUGCAUCGUCCAUAGGCGUAAUGUUAAAAUCAUGCCGUUUGGGGGGGGCAAAUGCCCAUUUUGCCCCCCCCCCCCUGGAUCCGCCACUGCAUCAGAGAACGCAAACAGAAGGCUCACCAGUACUGAGGGCAUCAGAGAACGCAAACAGAAGGCUCACCGGUACUGAGGGCAUCAGAGAACGGAAACAGAAGGCUCACCGGUACUGAGGGCAUCAGAGAUCGCAUGCAGAAGGCUCACCAGUACUGAGGGCAUCAGAGAACGGAAACAGAAGGCUCACCAGUACUGAGGGCAUCAGAGAACGCAAACAGAAGGCUCACCAGUACUGAGGGCAUCAGAGAACGCAAACAGAGGGCUCACCAGUAUUGAGAACGUCUCUGAGUGUGUGGGGAUCUCGCUGGUACGGGGAGACUUGAGCUUUUGUUUUUCAAAGACUUGAUACCAGUGAAAGAUUGGCACGCUGUGGUAGCAACUAGCAAUGUCCUGUAAAGAUUUUCAGAUGUUUCCAUGGCUUGCGUCGUACGCUGACAUGAAAAACAUCUUCAGGCUCGGAUGAUACUGAGAAUGAGAUUGACUCAGGGCACACUUUUGUAUAAAGAUAAUGCUGAACAUGAGGUUGAUCUCGAUGGCAGUACUAUCGAUGUACCAUCGAUAGUACCAUCAUGGUACAUGGUACAUGUACAUUAAUAAAACGCUUUUUAAAUGUACA